UACCAGCACCCCGAGUGGUCGGGACGUUUAUUGGGCCUAAAGCAUCCGUAGCCGGUUCUACAAGUCUUCCGUUAAAUCCAGCUGCUUAACAGAUGGGCUGCGGAAGAUACUAUGGAGCUAGGAGGCGGGAGAGGCAAGCGGUACUCGAUGGGUAGGGGUAAAAUCCUCUGAUCCAUUGAAGACCACCAGUGGCGAAGGCGGCUUGCCAGAACGCGCUCGACGGUGAGGGAUGAAAGCUGGGGGAGCAAACCGG
This 253-nucleotide ribosomal RNA is filed under the name uncultured bacterium. RNAcentral's name for it is "partial 16S ribosomal RNA". It matches the Rfam family "Archaeal small subunit ribosomal RNA", at positions 474 to 727 of the family's 1478-position model. The record is from RNAcentral.